GAGUUUGAUCAUGGCUCAGAACGUACGCUGGCGGCACGCCUAACACAUGCAAGUCGAACGAAGUAGCAAUACUUAGUGGCAGACGGGUGAGUAACAUGUAGGUAUCUGCCCUUUGGCCUGGAAUAACACGAGGAAACUUGUGCUAAUACCGGAUAAGUCUUUACGGAGAAAGCUUUAUGCACCAUUGGAUGAGCCUGCACUUGAUUAGUUUGUUGGUGGGGUAAUGGCCUACCAAGACUGUGAUCAAUAGCUGAUUUGAGAGGAUGAUCAGCCACAUUGGGACUGAGACACGGCCCAAACUCCUACGGGAGGCAGCAGUGGGGAAUCUUGCACAAUGGAGGAAACUCUGAUGCAGCGACGCCGCGUGAGUGAAGAAGGCCCUUGGGUUGUAAAGCUCUUUCGUCGGGGAAGAAAAUGACUGUACCCGAAUAAGAAGGUCCGGCUAACUUCGUGCCAGCAGCCGCGGUAAUACGAAGGGACCUAGCGUAGUUCGGAAUUACUGGGCUUAAAGAGUUCGUAGGUGGUUGAAAAAGUUAGUGGUGAAAUCCCAGAGCUUAACUCUGGAACUGCCAUUAAAACUUUUCAGCUAGAGUAUGAUAGAGGAAAGCAGAAUUUCUAGUGUAGAGGUGAAAUUCGUAGAUAUUAGAAAGAAUACCAAUUGCGAAGGCAGCUUUCUGGAUCAUUACUGACACUGAGGAACGAAAGCAUGGGUAGCGAAGAGGAUUAGAUACCCUCGUAGUCCAUGCCGUAAACGAUGUGUGUUAGACGUUGGAAAUUUAUUUUCAGUGUCGCAGGGAAACCGAUAAACACACCGCCUGGGGAGUACGACCGCAAGGUUAAAACUCAAAUGAAUUGACGGGGACCCGCACAAGUAGUGGAGCAUGUGGUUUAAUUCGAAGAUACGCGCAGAACCUUACCAACACUUGACAUGUUCGUCGCGACUCUAAGAGAUUAGAGUUUUCGGUUCGGCCGGACGAAACACAGGUGCUGCAUGGCUGUCGUCAGCUCGUGUCGUGAGAUGUUGGGUUAAGUCCCGCAACGAGCGCAACCCUCACUUUUAGUUGCCAUCAUUAAGUUGGGCACUCUGAAAGAACUGCCAGUGAUAAGCUGGAGGAAGGUGGGGAUGACGUCAAGUCCUCAUGGCCCUUACGUGUUGGGCUACACACGUGCUACAAUGGUAUCUACAACAGGAAGCAAGACUGCGAAGUUAAGCAAAUCCCUAAAAGAUACCUCAGUUCGGAUUGCACUCUGCAACUCGAGUGCAUGAAGCUGGAAUUACUAGUAAUCGUGGAUCAGCGUGCCACGGUGAAUGCGUUCCCGGGUCUUGUACACACCGCCCGUCACACCAUGGGAGUUGGUUCUACCUUAAGGCAAGGUUUUAAACCCUUGACCACGGUAUAGUCAGCGACUGGGGUGAAGUCGUAACAAGGUAACC
RNAcentral lists this ribosomal RNA (1435 nucleotides) under uncultured marine bacterium. Its description in RNAcentral is "bacterial SSU rRNA". It matches the Rfam family "Bacterial small subunit ribosomal RNA". The record is from RNAcentral.